GACGAACGCUGGCGGCGUGCCUAAUACAUGCAAGUUGAGCGCUGAAGGUUGGUACUUGUACCAACUGGAUGAGCAGCGAACGGGUGAGUAACGCGUGGGGAAUCUGCCUUUGAGCGGGGGACAACAUUUGGAAACGAAUGCUAAUACCGCAUAAAAACUUUAAACACAAGUUUUAAGUUUGAAAGAUGCAAUUGCAUCACUCAAAGAUGAUCCCGCGUUGUAUUAGCUAGUUGGUGAGGUAAAGGCUCACCAAGGCGAUGAUACAUAGCCGACCUGAGAGGGUGAUCGGCCACAUUGGGAAUGAGACACGGCCCAAACUCCUACGGGAGGCAGCAGUAGGGAAUCUUCGGCAAUAGACGAAAGUCUGACCGAGCAACGCCGCGGGAGUGAAGAAGGGUUUCGGAUCGUAAAACUCUGUUGGUAGAGAAGAACGUUGGUGAGAGUGGAAAGCUCAUCAAGUGACGGUAACUACCCAGAAAGGGACGGCUAACUACGUG
Molecule: ribosomal RNA, 497 nt
Filed under: uncultured bacterium
Lineage: Bacteria
Description: partial 16S ribosomal RNA
Rfam family: Bacterial small subunit ribosomal RNA
Source: RNAcentral